UGGUCACAACCAAUCUCUGCCACACUCGCAC
RNAcentral lists this non-coding RNA (31 nucleotides) under Homo sapiens (human). Lineage: Eukaryota; Metazoa; Chordata; Mammalia; Primates; Hominidae. The record is from RNAcentral.